AGAGCGUAGGGUGGAUGCCUAGGCACUGACAGCCGAAGAAAGACGUGACAAGCUGCGAAAAGCUGCGGGGAGAAGCACAUAUUCAGUGAUCCGCAGAUGUCUGAAUGGGGAAACCCACUUGGAAGAACUCCAAGUAUCUGUACGCCAAUACAUAACGUACAGAGGGGAACCCGGUGAACUGAAACAUCUAAGUAGCCGGAGGAAAAGAAAACAACAGUGAUUGCGAAAGUAGCGGCGAGCGAAAUCGUAAGAGCCCAAACCGUGGUGCGUGCACUGCGGGGUAGAGGACUGCAAUACGAGUAAGAUAUAUUACCUGAACCGUUUUGGAAAAGCGGGCCAAAGAGCGUGAGAGCCGUGUAAGGGAAAAUAUAUUGAAUCCAGCAGUAUCCGGAGUACCACGAGACACGAGAAACCUUGUGGGAAGCAGGGGGGACCACCCCCCAAGGCUAAAUACUAGUCAGUGACCGAUAGCGUAUAGUACUGUGAAGGAAAGGUGAAAAGAACCCCGGGAGGGGAGUGAAAAAGAACCUGAAACCCUAUGUUUACAAACUGUGGAACACCGAAAGGUGAACCGCGUACUUUUUGUAGAACGGUCCGGCGAGUUACAUGUACAGGCGAGGUUAAGUAUUAAAGAUACGGAGCCGAAGGGAAACCAAGUCUUAAUAGGGCGAUAAUAGUCAGUAUGUGUAGACCCGAAACCGGGUGAUCUAUCCAUGUCCAGGUUGAAGUUCGCGUAAAAGUGAAUGGAGGACCGAACGCACAUCCGUUGAAAAGGGUGGCGAUGAGGUGUGGAUAGGGGAGAAAUUCCAAUCGAACCCGGAGAUAGCUGGUUCUCCUCGAAAUAGCUUUAGGGCUAGCCUCGACUUAGUCAGACGGAGGUAGAGCACUGAAUUCCUGAGGGGGCGUCAAAGCCUACCAAGGGAUAUCAAACUGCGAAUGCCGCACUGAUGAUGGUCGGGAGUCAGACUGUACGAGAUAAGUUGGACAGUCAAAAGGGAAAGAGCCCAGACCUACAGCUAAGGUCCCAAAAUACGUGUUAAGUGGAAAAGGAUGUGGGAUUUCGAAGACAGCUAGGAUGUUGGCUUAGAAGCAGCCAUACAUUAAAAGAGUGCGUAACAGCUCACUAGUCGAGAGGUCCUGCGCCGAAAAUGUCCGGGGCUAAACACAACACCGAAGCCUAGGAAUGUAGUAAUACAUUGGUAGAGGAGCAUUCUUAGAGGCGUAGAAGCCAUACCGGAAGGAAUGGUGGAGUAAUAAGAAGAGAGAAUGCCGGAAUGAGUAGCGAGAAAGAGGUGAGAAUCCUCUUGGCCGAAUAUCUAAGGUUUCCUGAGUAAAGCUGAUCUACUCAGGGUAAGUCGGGGCCUAAGGCAAGGUCGAAAGACGUAGUCGAUGGAUAACAGGUACAGAUUCCUGUACUACAUAUAAUCAGAACUGUGGGGACACGGAGACUAAAACCGAACCCGGGAGGACAAAAACCGGGGCAAGCGAAGUACCUGUAUGGGAGGAAAAACCACCAUGCAAUGGGAAAACGUGAUGCGUACCGAAAAUUAGUAGGGAAGUCGGUUAGGGAGCCGUCAAGAAAAGCCGCUAUUGUGUUAUAUGUACCCGUACCGCAAACCGACACAGGUAGAUGAGGAGAGAAUCCUAAGGCCGGCGGGAGAAGCAUUGUUAAGGAACUCGGCAAAAUGACCCCGUAACUUCGGGAGAAGGGGUGCCACUUUAAUAGAGUGGUCGCAGAAAAAAGGCUCAAGCAACUGUUUAGCAAAAACACAGGUCUAUGCGAAACCGCAAGGUGAAGUAUAUGGGCUGACGCCUGCCCGGUGCCGGAAGGUUAAGAGGAGAAGUCAGGAAACGAAGCUUUGAAUUGAAGCCCCGGUAAACGGCGGCCGUAACUAUAACGGUCCUAAGGUAGCGAAAUUCCUUGUCGGGUAAGUUCCGACCCGCACGAAAGGCGUAAUGAUUUGAGCGCUGUCUCAACAAUGCACCCGGUGAAAUUGAAGUACCAGUGAAGAUGCUGGUUACCCGCGCCAGGACGGAAAGACCCCAUGGAGCUUUACUCCAGUUUGGUACUGGGAUUCGGUAAUACUCGUACAGGAUAGGUGGGAGACGUAGAAGUAUAGACGCCAGUUUAUGCAGAGUCGCCGUUGGGAUACCACCCCUGUAUUGCUGGAUUUCUAACCUGCGGCCGUUAUCCGGCCGGGGGACAAUGCCA
This 2212-nucleotide ribosomal RNA is filed under the name human metagenome. Its description in RNAcentral is "bacterial LSU rRNA". It matches the Rfam family "Bacterial large subunit ribosomal RNA", at positions 14 to 2259 of the family's 2925-position model. The record is from RNAcentral.